GGGCGUGUAGUUCAGUGGUAGAACGCGUUCCUGAUAAGAACGAGGUCCUAGGUUCGAUCCCUAGCACGCCCA
This 72-nucleotide transfer RNA is filed under the name bacterium. RNAcentral describes it as "tRNA-Ile". It matches the Rfam family "tRNA". Rfam says of the family: Transfer RNA (tRNA) molecules are approximately 80 nucleotides in length. Their secondary structure includes four short double-helical elements and three loops (D, anti-codon, and T loops). Further hydrogen bonds mediate the characteristic L-shaped molecular structure. tRNAs have two regions of fundamental functional importance: the anti-codon, which is responsible for specific mRNA codon recognition, and the 3' end, to which the tRNAs corresponding amino acid is attached (by aminoacyl-tRNA synthetases). tRNAs cope with the degeneracy of the genetic code in two manners: having more than one tRNA (with a specific anti-codon) for a particular amino acid; and 'wobble' base-pairing, i.e. permitting non-standard base-pairing at the 3rd anti-codon position. The record is from RNAcentral.